CAUGCCGCGUGUGUGAAGAAGGCCUUCGGGUUGUAAAGCACUUUCAGCAAGGAGGAAGGCCAUGCGGUUAAUACCCGUAUGGAUUGACGUUACUUGCAGAAGAAGCACCGGCUAACUCCGUGCCAGCACCCUCGGUGACUGAGCGGGCUGGCAAGGCGCAUA
Molecule: ribosomal RNA, 162 nt
Filed under: uncultured bacterium
Lineage: Bacteria
Description: partial 16S ribosomal RNA
Rfam family: Bacterial small subunit ribosomal RNA
Source: RNAcentral